RNAcentral lists this non-coding RNA (30 nucleotides) under Macaca fascicularis (crab-eating macaque). RNAcentral also lists the same sequence under 1 other name. Lineage: Eukaryota; Metazoa; Chordata; Mammalia; Primates; Cercopithecidae. The record is from RNAcentral.
UUCUUCCACUUGGGCUUAAAGCUGUCCUGC